RNAcentral lists this ribosomal RNA (429 nucleotides) under Chloroflexota bacterium. RNAcentral describes it as "Chloroflexi bacterium partial 16S ribosomal RNA". It matches the Rfam family "Bacterial small subunit ribosomal RNA", at positions 355 to 776 of the family's 1533-position model. The record is from RNAcentral. Lineage: Bacteria; Bacillati; Chloroflexota.
UGGGGAAUAUUGCACAAUGGGCGCAAGCCUGAUGCAGCCAUGCCGCGUGUGUGAAGAAGGCCUUCGGGUUGUAAAGCACUUUCAGCGGGGAGGAAGGCGUUAAGGUUAAUAACCUUGGCGAUUGACGUUACCCGCAGAAGAAGCACCGGCUAACUCCGUGCCAGCAGCCGCGGUAAUACGGAGGGUGCAAGCGUUAAUCGGAAUUACUGGGCGUAAAGCGCACGCAGGCGGUCUGUCAAGUCGGAUGUGAAAUCCCCGGGCUCAACCUGGGAACUGCAUGCGAAACUGGCAGGCUAGAGUCGUGUAGAGGGGGGUAGAAUUCCAGGUGUAGCGGUGAAAUGCGUAGAGAUCUGGAGGAAUACCGGUGGCGAAGGCGGCCCCCUGGACAAAGACUGACGCUCAGGUGCGAAAGCGUGGGGAGCAAACAGG